RNAcentral lists this ribosomal RNA (358 nucleotides) under uncultured bacterium. RNAcentral's name for it is "bacterial SSU rRNA". It matches the Rfam family "Bacterial small subunit ribosomal RNA", at positions 29 to 408 of the family's 1533-position model. The record is from RNAcentral.
AGCGAACGCUGGCGGCAGGCUUAACACAUGCAAGUCGAACCGGGCGGUAGCAAUACGUCAGUGGCAGACGGGUGAGUAACGCGUGGGAACGUACCUCUUGGUUCGGAACAACCCCAGGGAAACUUGGGCUAAUACCGGAUAAGCCCUUACGGGGAAAGAUUUAUCGCCGAAAGAUCGGCCCGCGUCUGAUUAGCUAGUUGGUGUGGUAACGGCGCACCAAGGCGACGAUCAGUAGCUGGUCUGAGAGGAUGAUCAGCCACAUUGGGACUGAGACACGGCCCAAACUCCUACGGGAGGCAGGCAGUGGGGAAUAUUGGACAAUGGGCGCAAGCCUGAUCCAGCCAUGCCGCGUGAGUGA